AGCGAACGCUGGCGGCAGGCCUAACACAUGCAAGUCGAACGAACUCUUCGGAGUUAGUGGCGGACGGGUGAGUAACACGUGGGAACGUGCCUUUAGGUUCGGAAUAACUCAGGGAAACUUGUGCUAAUACCGAAUGUGCCCUUCGGGGGAAAGAUUUAUCGCCUUUAGAGCGGCCCGCGUCUGAUUAGCUAGUUGGUGAGGUAAAGGCUCACCAAGGCGACGAUCAGUAGCUGGUCUGAGAGGAUGAUCAGCCACAUUGGGACCGUGACACGGCCCAAACUCCUACGGGAGGCAGCAGUGGGGAAUCUUGCGCAAUGGGCGAAAGCCUGACGCAGCCAUGCCGCGUGAAUGAUGAAGGUCUUAGGAUUGUAAAAUUCUUUCACCGGGGACGAUAAUGACGGUACCCGGAGAAGAAGCCCCGGCUAACUUCGUGCCAGCAGCCGCAGUAA
RNAcentral lists this ribosomal RNA (449 nucleotides) under uncultured bacterium. Its description in RNAcentral is "partial 16S ribosomal RNA". It matches the Rfam family "Bacterial small subunit ribosomal RNA", at positions 29 to 523 of the family's 1533-position model. The record is from RNAcentral.